AUUGAACGCUGGCGGCAGGCCUAAUACAUGCAAGUCGAACGGUAACAUAAAAGAAGCUUGCUUCUUUUGAUGACGAGUGGCGGACGGGUGAGUAAUAUUUGGGAAACUACCUGAUAGAGGGGGACAACAGUUGGAAACGACUGCUAAUACCGCAUAUAGCCUAAGGGUGAAAGCAGCAAUGCGCUAUCAGAUGUGCCCAAACGGGAUUAGCUAGUAGGUGAGGUAAAGGCUCACCUAGGCGACGAUCUCUAGCUGGUCUGAGAGGGUGACCGGCCACAUUGGGACUGAGACACGGCCCAAACUCCUACGGGAGGCAGCAGUGGGGAAUAUUGCACAAUGGGGGAAACCCUGAUGCAGCGACGCCGCGUGAGUGAAGAAGUAUUUCGGUAUGUAAAGCUCUAUCAGCAGGGAAGAAAAUGACGGUACCUGACUAAGAAGCCCCGGNUAACUACGUG
Molecule: ribosomal RNA, 455 nt
Filed under: uncultured bacterium
Lineage: Bacteria
Description: bacterial SSU rRNA
Rfam family: Bacterial small subunit ribosomal RNA
Source: RNAcentral